UUAUGUGUUUUGGCACCCAUACCGGACGGGGUAUGGGGACGGCCCAUUUCACCCUCAUACCGGACGGGGUAUUGAGGUUCAUGGUUUUGGUGCCCAUACUGGACGGGGUAUGGGGAUGGCUCUGGAAUCAGGUUAUAAAUGUUAAGGGUUCACAGGUAGCGGGACCCCUAUGGAUCCCCAUGGAUACUAGUAGGCUGGUAAAUGAGGAAAAUGUGUUGUUUAAUGAUUGAAAUGCAAAGGCGUGGUAAGUAUUAUGUCAUACAGUUCAUAUGAUUUCAUGAUGAUGAUAAUGUUAUUGCUUUCAUUUGUUGUUUUAUGGAUCUUACCGAGGUAAGUGGACAGUAAACGUUUUUAUGUUAAUAAACGAGUUUAUUAUAAAUUAUGCUCCAUUUGUCUUUUUUGUAUUUUCUACCCACCUUUACCUCCGUGGCGGUGAGAUAGUGUGAUGUCUUUACUGUGCUGGUGUAGCUCAUUCCUUAUUUAACCAUUUCAGAUAAGGAAGACAUUGUUCCCGAGCCCGUUUCGCAGGAAGACGGGAAGGGGACGCCAUAAGACUCCGUAGUUAUAUUUAUAGUUCUUAUUUUCGAGUAUCACU
Molecule: long non-coding RNA, 595 nt
Filed under: Carica papaya (papaya)
Lineage: Eukaryota; Viridiplantae; Streptophyta; Magnoliopsida; Brassicales; Caricaceae
Description: long non-coding RNA (CPAP_LNC015112)
Source: RNAcentral